UUUUCAGUUCUUUUCUCUAGUUAUUUAAGCAGAUCAUAAGAUGGAUGUUUCGCAAGACGAUCACCGGAAUUCACCCGAUUCUCUUUCUGUGAGCAAACAACCCAAAUCCUGGUAUCGCUGUUGUGUUUGUGGGACAACGUCUCGAAAAACACCAGACAGGAAAUUCUUCAGAUUUCCUAAGGAUCCUAUUAGAUCAAAACAAUGGGCUG
Molecule: long non-coding RNA, 209 nt
Organism: Stegodyphus dumicola
Lineage: Eukaryota; Metazoa; Arthropoda; Arachnida; Araneae; Eresidae
Source: RefSeq, a predicted model, not a curated record